GACGAACGCUGGCGGCGUGCUUAACACAUGCAAGUCGAACGGUAAGGCCCUUCGGGGUACACGAGUGGCGAACGGGUGAGUAACACGUGGGUGAUCUGCCGUGCACUUCGGGAUGAGCCUGGGAAACUGGGUCUAAUACCGGAUAGCACCAAUGACUGCAUGGGUGGCGGUGGAAAGCUUUUGCGGUGUGGGAUGGGCCCGGGGCCUAUCAGCUUGUUGGUGGGGUGAUGGCCGACCAAGGCGACGGCGGGUAGCCGGCCUGGGAGGGUGACCGGCCACACUGGGACUGAGAUACGGCCCAGACUCCUACGGGAGGCAGCAGUGGGGAAUAUUGCACAAUGGGCGCAAGCCUGAUGCAGCGACGCCGCGUGAGGGAUGACGGCCUUCGGGUUGUAAACCUCUUUCAGCACCGACGAAGCGCAAGUGACGGUAGGUGCAGAAGAAGGACCGGCCAACUACGUGCCAGCCGCCGCAGUAA
This 478-nucleotide ribosomal RNA is filed under the name uncultured bacterium. RNAcentral's name for it is "partial 16S ribosomal RNA". It matches the Rfam family "Bacterial small subunit ribosomal RNA", at positions 28 to 523 of the family's 1533-position model. The record is from RNAcentral.